UAAAUGUGGUUGCAAGGAAGCAAAUGAGUCAGUCUUAGAGUGGCACAGUGGGAGGAAGGCUCAACCCUUUCCAGCUUCCCAGAGCGGAGAAGGUGGCUACCAGCCAAAACAAUCGAGGCAGCCUCUGGAAGCAAGAGAAGACAAGAGAAGGAAUUGUCCCUUAGAGAGUCUAGAAAGGAGCAAGACCAUUUGAACAUUUUGAGGUUUAUCCAGUGAGGCUCAUUUUGGACUUCUGACUUUAAGAACUGAAGCUGAGCAACUGCAUAGAGAGCCAGGUCUUCCCAGAGGAUUUCUUGAAGGCUUCCAAUAGCAACUUGAGAAGAGAUAAACUCACUGAAUCUGGAAGCAUUUCAUCAUUUUUAUAUGCUACCUUGUUAAAUGGGUUAAAACUGAACUAGAAUUUAUUUCAUGGACAUAAAACCCACAUCCAUAUAAAGAAAGUCAUCAUGAAUGACAUAUAAAUAUGUACAUUUCCAAGUAAAGCAUAACACAUGCUCAUUAUAUAUUUGCUGAAUGAGCAGAAAAUAUAUUAAAAAAGGGCAUAGAGAACAAGUUUGCAGCUCAAACACCACUGUUUUUUUCUAAUUUAAUUCUUAAAUAAUGUGUAAGACAUUCAAAAAUCCUGAAAGAAAUAACUCUCAGCUCUCUUAACUGUUCAGGCCUAUGAAUAUUCCCACCCUGGUAUCAAUAAUUAAGGAAAAAAUUAAUCCUCUUUAUCUGAAUUACAAUCAAUAACAUAUGUACUGCUUUAAAAUGAUGUUGGAUUUCAUAGUAUGGUAGGGUAUUGAGCAUUCUUCAUAAAUUUGAAAAUACUAUUCUCUGAUUUUGAGAUGCUCUUUUGACCUUGACUGGCUCAGAAAUUACGAAGAAUUUUUGCUUUGAGACAGUGGUAUGUGUUGAUCGGAAGAUGCCUUGAGCUACGAAAAAGGUUUUGUGUUCUCUGCAUAAAAGUAUUCCAGGAAAAGGAUUUAGAAUUUCCUGGCACAUCACAUCUCUGGUUGUCAUAAGGAAGAACAUUUUCCAAUUGAAUUAGGUGGGUAGGAAAUUAACACUGAAAGUUAUUUUUUAAACAUCAACAUUUAAAUACAUGCAUACAAAUAUGACAAUUUGAUCACUGAGUUUGUUUUUAAUGAAUUAAUACAAAAAUAUGUAUUAGUCGUCAGACUGGGUAUUACUCAUCACUUCUUUCAUAUUUCAGAAACAGGAAAAUAAAAUAACUGACAUUUAAAAUCAUCUGCGUUAACAUUCUCAGCUAGCAAAGAGUAUUUCAGUCAUUCUGUUUUAAAGUUCUAUAAACUAUCAACAAGAUAGUAUAUCUACUCAUUAUUACUUGAUGUCUUGGUGCAGUAAUGAAGAGAUACUGUCUAAAACAAUGGUCUGUCCCAGAUGAGACAGUAGUAUAAGUGAAAAACACUCAUUUCAAUACAUUAAUUUUUAGCACUGUGAUCAAAAAUGUUUCAAUAAAAAUUUAUGUAUCUUUUUUAUGUUCAAAUUUCAAAAAUGUACGAAAGAAAAAAAGCAGACAAAAAAAAUGCUUUCAAAAUGCUACCCUCCGUAAAGAGCUGAAUUGAAUUUCAUUGGAAAAUCUACCAAACAUUCAAAAGCAAGUCAUUCUAAUGCCCCUUAAACUGUUACAAAGAAUAAGGAGGACAAGACAACAUUCAGAGCAUUUUUAUGAGUGAAGAUAUUCAUAUUAUACUCAAUUCUGUCAAUUCAUUUUACAAGGAUGUUAGAGAUAUAAUGGCAUAAAUGAUAGGUAAUAAAAAAGGAAAAGUAUAGACUGGACCUGCUUGGUAAUGAAUAAAACAGUAUCAGUAGAAUCUCAUACUAAAGGCACACCAAAACAGUAUAUCAUGAUCAAGUAGAAUUAGUCUAGAAAUUCAGGGAUGAUUCAAUACAAAUCAUCAACUAAUAUAAUUCAUACCACAGAUAUAAAAACUUUCAAAAAGUCCACUAUUUGUUGAUAAACAAAACAUUUUAAAAAAUAUAAUGACUUACUAAUCUUGAUGAGAUUUACAUGCCUCCAUUGCAAAACCAGUAUCUGACAAACUGCGAAUAGAUUAGCAACACCCAAAUCAGGAAAAGACCUGCUAUCCUCGAAUCUUUACUGAUAUUUAUGGUUGAAUUACAGUUCUUAUUCAAAACAAUAUGAAAAGAAAAAAGAAUUUGAGGAAAAAAGAACUGGAAAAGAAGAAACAUGCUUAAUGUCCUGAUUUUAUGAUACAGUGUAUGGACAAUUUAGAGGAGGUUUUAAAAAAGUAAAAACCAAUACAAGCAGUUCAAUAAUAGACCAGACUAUUAAAAAUUAGGAAAUUCAAAACAUUAAUAUAGUCAAACAAUGAUCACAGAGAUGUUCAAACAAACACAAAGAGUAAAAGAGACUACCUAAGGUUAAAUGUGCAAGACCUAUAGAUGGGAAAUAUUUAAAUACUGAAGAAGAACACAAAUACAGUCUUAAAGAGAUGAAAGGAAAUGCAAUUUUUUAUUAUAACAAUCACACACGGUAGGGAUACUGAUCUAUACUAAGUAAAAUAGAAACUUAUCAUGGUCCCAAUAAAAUUACCAACAGACUUUCACUGAAUGUAAAAAGGUUAUUAGGAAUGUUGUAUGGAAAAAAAUAACAAACAUAGGUAGAUAAGAAAACCCUAAAAAAUAUCAACAAGGAAGAGUAAAACUGGCCCUACCACAUAUUAAGAUCAAGGGAAAAAAAAAAAACUUUCUCAUAAUAGCAGUAUGCUAUUUACACAUGAAUAAUCAGAAAGACCACUGGCUCUAAAGAGUAAAAUAGGAUCCAAGUACCUAUAGAAGUAUAGUAUAUGAUAAAUUAAGUCAUAGUAGAAAAGAGUUUUUGAUUAAUAUUUUGAAGACCAUUUGAUAAACAUUUUUUAAAAAGCUAAAAUUUAACCCCAUUUGUCAUAACUUUCACUAGGAUAAAUGCCAAAUAGAUCAGAUAUAAAAUAUUUAAAAAGAAACUAUGCAAGUCCUAAAACAUUUAUUAGUUAUGUUGGAAUUGGGAAGCCUAAGUAAUAUGUCUCAAAAUUCAGAAAUGGCAAAAGAAAACAUGAAUAAAUUUUACUAUAAAAAAAAAAACCUUGGGCACGGAAAA
This is a long non-coding RNA of Sus scrofa (pig), 3106 nucleotides long. RefSeq lists it as uncharacterized. The record is from RefSeq and is a predicted model, not a curated record. Lineage: Eukaryota; Metazoa; Chordata; Mammalia; Artiodactyla; Suidae.